AGCGACUAUUCCGUCCGCUGGGACCUGAUCGUUAACGAGUGUCCAAACCCUGCUGACAUGGCGAUGUUGCAGAAUGGCAUCUCGACAUCCAGCCGUUUCUCCUUCAGGAUGUUCACAUUUACCAGCUUCCCUAACAACAUCUACCUGCAUUGCCAGGUCCAUCUCUGUCUGCUGGAUUCAGGCAGCUGUGCACUGCACUUGCCAGAAGACGCCGAUCUGCAGAUUUCUACGAUUCGGCCGCAA
This is a long non-coding RNA of Silurus meridionalis, 243 nucleotides long. RefSeq lists it as uncharacterized. NCBI's taxonomy places the organism in Eukaryota, Metazoa, Chordata, Actinopteri, Siluriformes, Siluridae. The transcript has 3 exons. The record is from RefSeq and is a predicted model, not a curated record.